RNAcentral lists this long non-coding RNA (986 nucleotides) under Cyanistes caeruleus (blue tit). RNAcentral describes it as "lncRNA (ENSCCEG00000012626.1)". The record is from RNAcentral. Lineage: Eukaryota; Metazoa; Chordata; Aves; Passeriformes; Paridae.
UAUAUUUUAUCCCUAGUGGGGUUUAUUUUGAUUUGGUUUGUUGUUUUUUUUUUUUUUUUUCAGGGAAUCAGAGACUGCUUUGGGUGGAAGGGACCUUUGAGAUCAUCUUGUCCCAACCCCCUGCCAUGGGCAGGGACACCUUCCACUAUCCCAGGUUGCUCAGAGCUCCCCCCCAACCUGACCUGGAACACUUCCAUGGAUGGGAAGGAAUUUUCUUUCAUCCUUCUUCCUUUAGGAGCACAUGGCCUUGCCUAAACUCUGUUCAGAUGAGCUCCAGGACUCUUUGGGGAUUUUACUCAAGGGAAUUCCUGCUGUUGGAAGGAGAUGGAGCAAAAGCGGUUCAGGCUCUGUCGGGAAUUUUGGUCCAGAACUUGUCCCAGAUGAUUUGUGUUGCUUUUCCUGCAGUCCUUUUAAAGCUGGAGCUCGGAAUGUCCCCCCUAAAUCAUCAGUGUGAGCCAGAAACGUUUUGGCAUUGGAGGUGGGAGCCAGUUCUGUGCUUUUCAGGCUCUGGAAGGUGUUAAUUAAAGCGGGUAUUAAUUAAAGGUGAAUGAUCCAAGACCUAGAGAAAUGGGGGAUGAUCACAGAAUCACAAAAUGAGUGAGGCUGGGAAGGACCACUGGAGGUCAUUUGGUCCAUGAUGGUGUCAUUUUGCCUCAUUUAUGGAUAUAUUUAUUUAAAAUGAGCAGGAUUUUAUUUCCCAUCUCAGUUUUUGGGUUCACUAAAUUAACAGACAAUCAACACAGUGCAUAAAUCCCCUGUGCCUUCCCAGAGAGAUGUAAAAUCACUGACUUUAGGGCAAAUAUGUGUCUUCUCAGAUGGCAAAGAAACCCCUGAGCUGUUCCUCAUCCCUGUUCAUGCAGAGGAGCUGACGGAGCUGGAAAAUCAAUUUGCUUUUGGUUCCGAUUGAGAGACCAUAUAGAUUUGGGAUGCUGGGAAUGUGGAUGAUGAUGGGGAAGAGUGGGAAGGUGCUGCAGGUUGUUGCCCAC